CGCAUUUUAACGCCGUGUUAACGUUUCCGAUUUAUCAAUGGGAUCAGUCCAGAUGGUCUGGAUGUCGAGUGGUAUUUCUGUCCACUCUGUUUGAUGCCUCCCUGAUGACUCUUUCAAGCCGCUCUUCGGAGCGGCUUUUUUCUU
RNAcentral lists this small RNA (144 nucleotides) under Methylobacterium symbioticum. Its description in RNAcentral is "Alphaproteobacterial sRNA BjrC1505". It matches the Rfam family "Alphaproteobacterial sRNA BjrC1505". Lineage: Bacteria; Pseudomonadati; Pseudomonadota; Alphaproteobacteria; Hyphomicrobiales; Methylobacteriaceae. The record is from Rfam by way of RNAcentral.